RNAcentral lists this non-coding RNA (107 nucleotides) under Prochlorococcus marinus subsp. pastoris str. CCMP1986. Lineage: Bacteria; Bacillati; Cyanobacteriota; Cyanophyceae; Synechococcales; Prochlorococcaceae. The record is from RNAcentral.
AAAGUUCUGUGACUGCUGGUAAAGGAUUACUUAAAAAUGUUCAGUACGGAUAAUACAAGGUAAAGAACCACAAAAGAAAGUUUUUUAGAUCCUCGAAACAACUCGUA